This 411-nucleotide ribosomal RNA is filed under the name Verrucomicrobiota bacterium. Its description in RNAcentral is "Verrucomicrobia bacterium partial 16S ribosomal RNA". It matches the Rfam family "Bacterial small subunit ribosomal RNA", at positions 355 to 776 of the family's 1533-position model. Lineage: Bacteria; Pseudomonadati; Verrucomicrobiota. The record is from RNAcentral.
UGGGGAAUCUUGCGCAAUGGGGGAAACCCUGACGCAGCGACGCCGCGUGCGGGAUGAAGGCCUUCGGGUUGUAAACCGCUUUCAGCAGGGCCGAGGCCUUAUGGUGACGGUACCUGCAGACGAAGCCCCGGCUCAAUACGUGCCAGCAGCCGCGGUAAUACGUAUGGAGCAAGCGUUAUCCGGAUUCAUUGGGCGUAAGGCGCUCGUAGGCGGUCUGUUAGGUCGGCAAGUUAAAUCCGGGGGCUCAACCCCCGUCCGCUUCCGAUACCGGCAGACUUGAGUUUGGUAGGGGAAGGUGGAAUUCCUAGUGUAGCGGUGGGAUGCACAGAUAUUAGGAAGAACACCGGUGGCGAAGGCGGCCUUCUGGGCCAUAACUGACGCUGAGGAGCGAAAGCUAGGGGAGCGAACAGG